UCUCCUCUUCUUGUCUCGCAUCGCCUCCCCGCAGCCAAAAACCCUAGCGCACGCACCUUGCCGGUCCGGCCCCGAGACGCAUUCCGGAAACCUCCGGAACGCCGCAAUGGUUUGGUUUCAGUGCGAGGACUGCGGCGAGAACCUGAAGAAGCCCAAGCUUGCCGGCCACUUCCGCUCAUGCUCCGCCUACAAGCUUUCCUGCAUCGACUGCGGCGCAGUCUUCGGCCAGGACACCGUCCAGACGCACACCCAGUGCAUCUCCGAGGCCGAGAAGUAUGGUCCCAAGGGACUGAACAAGCCAUCCAGCAAUGCACAGGGUAAGCCAGACAAGCCAAAGCCAAAUGCCGAUGUUGAUAUCAAUGUUGGGUUGUCGACACGCCCUCCUUGGUUCUGUAGCCUAUGCAAUACAACUACCACCAGCAAGCAAACUCUCUUGGGGCAUGCUGAUGGCAGGAAACAUAGGGCAAAAGCAAAAGCCUUUCAUGCUUCUCAGAAGCAAGAAAAUGGAGCUGAACAAACUCCAAGCGACAAGGAAACUGGUGGAGCACCAACAACAGCAUCUACAGAACUAAAUGACGGGAAGGGUGCUGACGGUGAAAGAGAUGCUGACAAAGAUGUUGUGAAGAGAAAGAGAACAGAUAGCACAACCUCCGAGGAGCCAGAUAAUGCAAAAAGACAAAUUUUAUCGAACUUGAAGACUGGAGAGGCGAUACAAUCUGAAAAUGGAGAAGCGGAACUCAAAACAAAGAGCAAAAGUGCUGCAGAAGAACUGGUCAUUGGUGCCAAUCAUCAAGAUAUUAAGAAGCAGAAAAUCAAGUGGAAGAAAAUUAUUACGAAGAUACUAGAGACGAAUUUGGAUGGAGCUAUGAAGUUAAAGAAGCUACAAAAGCUAGUUAUCAGGGAAGUUUUAGAAUGUGGUCUGUUGAAAGAUAAGGAGCAGCUGCAUGCUCUGUUGAUGGACAAGAUAGCUUCGAGCUCCAGGUUUUCUGUGGAUGGGAAGAACAUUAGAUUGGUGGCCAAGAAUGAAGAAUCAUAGUCCUCAGACAUUUUCUUGUGCUCUAUUUAAGAUGUUACUAAAAUGUCAGGGAAAAUGAUACAGGCAGUAUUAUUUUUGGGGCUGUCAAUUUUGGAUUUGUUACGUGCCUGUGUCAUUUGCAGAGAAAACUGUUCCAAGAUACAGGAACUUCGUGUUUGAUUUUUUUUUUUUUUGGAACAGUGGGACCAAACCGAUUUUGUUGCUCCAGAUGCUGUGAACUUUUUCAGUAUAUUUGGCGUUGCAACUCCUGUGCAAAUUGAAACUAUAUAUGCAAUCAAGAAAUGCGAGCUGCCUGUGUUUUGGUACCGUCAUAUCAGCAACACAGCUCUCAGUCUGUGUACCUUGUACUCCC
Molecule: ribosomal RNA, 1388 nt
Filed under: Triticum aestivum (bread wheat)
Lineage: Eukaryota; Viridiplantae; Streptophyta; Magnoliopsida; Poales; Poaceae
Description: partial small subunit ribosomal RNA
Source: RNAcentral